GCUGACAGCGCUCAGUGUUAGUGUAACAACAUUUUGGGUUGUCAGAGGCAACGUGUGUGUACUUACUGUUGGACUGAAGCCAAAAAAACUUGAUUUAAUAACUGACUUUGUUAUGGUUCCAAUAAGCUCUAACAACAACAACCCAGGCAGUGUUGCUGGCCCUGGACUUUGACUUGGCCGGCCCACAACAAUCGCUCAUCUCUCUGUCCCUCAUCAUCACAUGUGGCCCUACCAUGCUGAGGCUGCACAACUGUCUGGCUCACCUCAACUCUCUCUUCUUCACUCAUGCUGCUAACUUCUUGGAUGCUGCUGCUAACGUCAACUUGUGCCUCAGUGCUGCUGCCGGCUGUGCUGCUGAACAUUUCAGUGAGCUUGUGACAUUUAGCGGCUUCACUUUCUAAAUGUCGCAUUUUUCUUUCCCUCGCCUUCUCAGCCCCACCCCUUUCUUUGCGUUUUCUAUCCAUAUUUUUGUGCUUCACUACUAUUACCAAAGAUCGUCUUUGCUGCUACUUCUCCUGCUUCUUCUUCUUCUUCUUCUUCUUCUUCUUUUCUAUUAGCUGGUGGGCACCUUACAGUCUAUGGUGGGCACGGCGGCUGCCGGCUGGCAUCCAACUUAAAGACAUAUUGUUGCCACCUACCGGACUGGAGUGUGAAACAGUAGAUUAGCAGGAAAAAAACAAAAAACAAACUGGUGAUGACUGCGUGGCGGCCGCCGGCCGUCCUGGAGUACCGGCCGUUCUGUGAUUCUCCAGAACACACAGAUGGCCAGUCCGCCCCUGGUCUUCAGUGUUUCCUGUGUAAUUUUGCCCUCAUUGUUUUCACCUGUGCCGUUAGUCUCACCUGUGUCUGAUUACCCCUUGUCUAUUUAGUCUCUAGCUGUUUUCGAAACC
Molecule: long non-coding RNA, 890 nt
Organism: Labrus bergylta (ballan wrasse)
Lineage: Eukaryota; Metazoa; Chordata; Actinopteri; Labriformes; Labridae
Source: RefSeq, a predicted model, not a curated record